UGUGCUAUGUGGGGAGUUAGCGGUGCCCUAUUCUUGCAAUCCGCUUUAGCAAGGCAGAAAGUCUUUCUCGGGAAUGCGUGUCGAAGCAGGAUGAAUUUGGCUUGCGAUGAAGGAAAGGUCUUGUGCAAAAGUUACUUGUGAAUCAUGUCAGGUCUGGAAGGAAGCAGCAUUAAGCAAAUCUAACUUUGUGCCACAAGGAAACUUUUCUGGAGUAA
RNAcentral lists this signal recognition particle RNA (215 nucleotides) under human gut metagenome. Its description in RNAcentral is "Bacterial large signal recognition particle RNA". It matches the Rfam family "Bacterial large signal recognition particle RNA", at positions 3 to 215 of the family's 256-position model. From Rfam's summary of the family: The signal recognition particle (SRP) is a universally conserved ribonucleoprotein involved in the co-translational targeting of proteins to membranes. The record is from RNAcentral.